AAAAUUCUGUCCAGUAGUUCUCCACCUUCACACAAUUCCAUGACUAUGUAGACAUUAUUGGCGUCUUCAAAAGCAUCAUGAAAUUUGAUCAUAUGCUUAUGCCCAGAUAGAGCUUUCAUUAUUUUUACCUCCCGACGAACAUCUUCAAUGGAUAUUGCUGUAGUCAUCUUAGCUUUGGAAAUGAUCUUGACAGCGACGGGCUGUCCCUUGAGCUCUCCUCUC
Molecule: unclassified non-coding RNA, 222 nt
Filed under: Hevea brasiliensis (rubber tree)
Lineage: Eukaryota; Viridiplantae; Streptophyta; Magnoliopsida; Malpighiales; Euphorbiaceae
Source: RNAcentral